This 421-nucleotide ribosomal RNA is filed under the name uncultured bacterium. RNAcentral describes it as "partial 16S ribosomal RNA". It matches the Rfam family "Bacterial small subunit ribosomal RNA", at positions 360 to 773 of the family's 1533-position model. The record is from RNAcentral.
AAUAUUGGACAAUGGGGGCAACCCUGAUCCAGCCAUGCCGCGUGUGUGAAGAAGGCCUUUUGGUUGUAAAGCACUUUAAGCAGUGAAGAAGACUCCAUGGUUAAUACCCAUGGACGAUGACAUUAGCUGCAGAAUAAGCACCGGCUAACUCUGUGCCAGCAGCCGCGGUAAUACAGAGGGUGCAAGCGUUAAUCGGAAUUACUGGGCGUAAAGCGAGCGUUGGUGGGUUGGUAAGGUAGAAUGGGAAGGCCCGGGGCUAACCUGGGAAAGGGAAUCGAUAAUGUUAGGGUAGAGGAGGUGAGAGGAAGGUAGGAUUCCCGGUGUAGCGGUGAAAUGCGUAGAGAUCUGGGGGAAUACCGAUGGCGAAGGCAGCCUUCUGGCAUCAUUCUGACACUGAGGUUCGAAAGCGUGGGUAGCAAAC